GGGAUGGGGAGGUAGAAGUGGGAGGGAAGAGAGCUAAUUGCUUCCUACAUGUCACCCCUGACCAUGUUCAUGGUGUGAGAUUCACCUCAAUAAAUGGGGAAUGUGAUGUUCAGAUUAAUGAAAGGGAAGAAUUAUCUAGAAGGAAAAAGAAAGAUUUGUGUCCUGGUGAAGACUGGGACCUAGAAAAAGGAGGUUUAUGUAGUCAACCUCUAGACAGGUGUUGUCCAUGGCAACCUCUGCCUUAUAUGACAUUGUAUUUUUUUGUAGGAACCCAGACUACAUAUACUGCAUGCACAAAUGAUUUAGUCAAGAAAGGAACAAAAGAGAAAUCAUGAAAAUGUUUCAUAAUACUGUGCAUAAACUUUCAUUUCUGUCAUUAUUUCAGGAUCCAGUGGGGAUGUUGUGCUGACCCAGACUCCCUCUCCUUGCUCAUCACCUUUGGGCAGCUGGCCUCCAUCUCCUGCAGGUGCAGUCAGAGCCUCUUAGAUAGUGAUGGAAACACCUAUUUGCAUUGGGUUCUGCAGAAGCCAGGCCAGUCUCCAAAGCUUCUGAUCUAUGAGGUUUCCAAGUGGUUCACUGGGGUCCCAGACAUCUUCAGUGGCAGUGGGUCAGGGACAGAUUUCACACUGAGAAUCAGCAGGGUGGAGGCUGAGGAUGCUGGAGUGUAUUACUGUGGGCAAUUUACACAUAAUCCUCCCACAGUGGUGCAGCC
This 712-nucleotide long non-coding RNA is filed under the name Marmota monax (woodchuck). Lineage: Eukaryota; Metazoa; Chordata; Mammalia; Rodentia; Sciuridae. The record is from RNAcentral.